This 469-nucleotide ribosomal RNA is filed under the name uncultured bacterium. RNAcentral's name for it is "bacterial SSU rRNA". It matches the Rfam family "Bacterial small subunit ribosomal RNA", at positions 44 to 507 of the family's 1533-position model. The record is from RNAcentral.
AUGCCUUACACAUGCAAGUCGAACGGCAGCACGGGAGCAAUCCUGGUGGCGAGUGGCGAACGGGUGAGUAAUAUAUCGGAACGUGCCCAGUCGUGGGGAUAACGUAGCGAAAGCUACGCUAAUACCGCAUACGAUCUAUGGAUGAAANCGGGGGAUCGCAAGACCUCGCGCGAUUGGAGCGGCCGAUAUCAGAUUAGGUAGUUGGUGAGGUAAAGGCUCACCCAAGCCGACGAUCUGUAGCUGGUCUGAGAGGACGACCAGCCACACUGGGACUGAGACACGGCCCCAGACUCCUACGGGAGGCAGCAGUGGGGAAUUUUGGACAAUGGGCGCAAGCCUGAUCCAGCAAUGCCGCGUGCAGGAUGAAGGCCUUCGGGUUGUAAACUGCUUUUGUACGGAACGAAACGGUGAGCUCUAAUACAGUUUGCUAAUGACGGUACCGUAAGAAUAAGCACCGGCUAACUACGUG